GAGGAAAGUCCGGACAACACAGAGCAACUCACUUCCUAACGGGAAGGCUCCGUUCAGGCGGAGACAGCAAGUGCCACAGAAAAUAUACCGCCUUGUCUUUGAUGAGGUAAGGGUGAAAACGUGAGGUAAGAGCUCACGGUAUUGCAUGGCGACAUGGAUUACGGUAAACCUUGAGUGUUGAAAGACCAAAUAGGUUACGAAACUCGAAGGCUGCUCGUCUUCUUUUACUUCGGUAAGAUUCGUAAUGGGUAGGUUGAUGGAGUCUGUCAGCAAUGGCAGAUCUAGAUAAAUGAUAGAAAACCGAUUUUUCGGUGUACAGAACCCGGCUUA
RNAcentral lists this RNase P RNA (330 nucleotides) under Sphingobacterium spiritivorum. RNAcentral's name for it is "Bacterial RNase P class A". It matches the Rfam family "Bacterial RNase P class A", at positions 43 to 351 of the family's 367-position model. From Rfam's summary of the family: Ribonuclease P (RNase P) is a ubiquitous endoribonuclease, found in archaea, bacteria and eukarya as well as chloroplasts and mitochondria. The record is from Rfam by way of RNAcentral. Lineage: Bacteria; Pseudomonadati; Bacteroidota; Sphingobacteriia; Sphingobacteriales; Sphingobacteriaceae.